UCCUCGUUAGUAUAGUGGACAGUAUCUCCGCCUGUCACGCGGAAGACCGGGGUUCGAUUCCCGGCCGGGGAG
This 72-nucleotide transfer RNA is filed under the name Pangasianodon hypophthalmus (striped catfish). It matches the Rfam family "tRNA". Rfam says of the family: Transfer RNA (tRNA) molecules are approximately 80 nucleotides in length. Their secondary structure includes four short double-helical elements and three loops (D, anti-codon, and T loops). The record is from Rfam by way of RNAcentral. Lineage: Eukaryota; Metazoa; Chordata; Actinopteri; Siluriformes; Pangasiidae.